CCUACGGGUGGCAGCAGUGGGGGAUAUUGCACAAUGGGGGAAACCCUGAUGCAGCGACGCCGCGUGAGUGAAGAAGGAUCUAGGUAUGUAAAGCUCUAUUAGCAGGGAAGAAAAUGACGGUACCUGACUAAGAAGCCCCGGCCAACUACGUGCCAGCAGCCGCGGCAAUACGUAGGGGGCAAGCGUUAUCCGGAUUUACUGGGUGUAAAGGGAGCGUAGGCGGCUUGGCAAGCCAGAUGUGAAAGGCUGGGGCUCAACCUCAGGACUGCAUUUGGAACUGUCAUGCUAGAGUGUCGGAGAGGCAGGUGGAAUUCCUAGUGUAGCGGUGAAAUGCGUAGAUAUUAGGAGGAACACCAGUGGCGAAGGCAGCCUGCUGGACGAUAACUGACGUUGAGGCUCGAAAGCGUGGGGAGCAAACAGGAUUAGAUACCCCAGUAGUC
Molecule: ribosomal RNA, 440 nt
Filed under: uncultured bacterium
Lineage: Bacteria
Description: partial 16S ribosomal RNA
Rfam family: Bacterial small subunit ribosomal RNA
Source: RNAcentral